UGUUGAUUUUGCAACUUGACCUACUUGAUAGUCUCAUCGGGCCCAUCUAAAAUCUGUCAAAACAAAAACAAAAUAUCAGAUGGUACCUUUGGUCACUUCUUCAUUACCUGAGAAUCAUUAAUAUUUAAAGUAUUUCUGAUAUGUGAAUAUCACAAAAUACGAGGAUGUCAAUAACGAAACAGAGCAAAUAAUUGUGUAGAUUUCAGACUUCCAGUAAGCAUGGAGCGUGUCAAGAUCAUCAGGAACAGCAUUUCUGAAUUACCUUCAGGUAAUAUAUAAUCCAUGGAUACCUGGUUGGCUACAUCAUCGUACACGUGCAUACACGAUAUAUAUAUGAAAUUAUAUACGGGCAUAGUUUCCCAUGCUGGAUACACAUUUGACCAAUUGCACUGAUCGGAAGGACGAGCUCUUUACCUAGGCGCCUUACUUUGAGGAAAUUUCUCAAGGCAGUUACAUAGCAAGCUCAAGUUCUGUGGUGAAACUUUGAAGAAAGCAUUCAACGAGGACUUGAGUAAACCUUAUUCUUUUCUAUGGCCGUAUGCUCAUGAUUCACAGAAGCUUCGAAUAAGGAGUACUCGCAGAAAUAUGUAUCAGCCACGACCGAUGAUUACUUCGGAAAAGAGUAAACCAAUUGAAGUGUUUCGACACAUAAACAAAACUAGUUCAGAGAAACGCGUAUUUCAGUCAAAAUUUUAAAAAUGCACUUUGUUUAAUAUAUGUAUUGUUUGGAGCAUGAAUAAACUUGUAAUUUAUAA
Molecule: long non-coding RNA, 755 nt
Organism: Armigeres subalbatus
Lineage: Eukaryota; Metazoa; Arthropoda; Insecta; Diptera; Culicidae
Exons: 3
Source: RefSeq, a predicted model, not a curated record